This 722-nucleotide long non-coding RNA is filed under the name Homo sapiens (human). Its description in RNAcentral is "non-protein coding lnc-BCAP31-2:3". Lineage: Eukaryota; Metazoa; Chordata; Mammalia; Primates; Hominidae. The record is from RNAcentral.
GGAGGCAGGAUGGUUGCUACCUGGGGCGGCCGCCAGCUCCUCCCGCAGGGCUCCGGGCCGCCCCUCGCCCCAGGGUCGCCGGCUCCUAGUGCAGCCCAGGCUUCCCGGCCGGCCCCUCCCAGCCCUGGGAAGACGUCCCCCGGGCCCCCUCAGCCCUCCGCCUCCCCUUCUCUCCCUUUCUCCCCGCUCCUGGCAGGCUGCAGCCGUCUCCUCCCGGUGCUCCCUCCUUCCUUGAGCUCUCUCCACCGCUGCCCACUGGGGGCUACAGCUUCCCGGCUACCCUGGAAGCUGGAGGCCGGGACCAGCUCUUCAGGUGACAGGCCUCUGUGUCUCCACAGUGGGCAGAGGGGAGCCUGCCUGGCUGAUGAGCAAGCCUCGACUUUGUCAUCAAGGCAGAGAAGGGGCCCGGGUAAAUGACCCCGGCGGCCCCCACCCCUGCCUGGCGUGAGAGUGGGUAGGGGCUUCGGACUUGAGGGGACUGGAGCGGGAACAAGGGUCUUCUCUGGCCCAGCCUUUGACUGAAGCUGGUCUGGAGACAGGGGCAUUAGAGAAGUGACUCAUAGAUGGCCUAAAGAAGCGGGGCCACUCAAGGACCCAGGACAGAGGGAAGAGGGCCAACCCAGCUGGACCACAGGCAAACCCCAUUGCCUUUGAGAGAAAGAAGAGGACCCGGUGAAGUAGGCUCGGAGGGCCUCAGCCCAGCAGGAGUGCGGGGUGGGCGC